AUUGAACGCUGGCGGCAGGCUUAACACAUGCAAGUCGAGCGGGGGAAGGUAGCUUGCUACCGGACCUAGCGGCGGACGGGUGAGUAAUGCUUAGGAAUCUGCCUAUUAGUGGGGGACAACAUCUCGAAAGGGAUGCUAAUACCGCAUACGUCCUACGGGAGAAAGCAGGGGAUCUUCGGACCUUGCGCUAAUAGAUGAGCCUAAGUCGGAUUAGCUAGUUGGUGGGGUAAAGGCCUACCAAGGCGACGAUCUGUAGCGGGUCUGAGAGGAUGAUCCGCCACACUGGGACUGAGACACGGCCCAGACUCCUACGGGAGGCAGCAGUGGGGAAUAUUGGACAAUGGGGGGAACCCUGAUCCAGCCAUGCCGCGUGUGUGAAGAAGGCCUUAUGGUUGUAAAGCACUUUAAGCGAGGAGGAGGCUACUCUAGUUAAUACCUAGGAAUAGUGGACGUUACUCGCAGAAUAAGCACCGGCUAACUCUAUGCCAGCAGCCGCCGUAA
This 501-nucleotide ribosomal RNA is filed under the name uncultured bacterium. RNAcentral describes it as "partial 16S ribosomal RNA". It matches the Rfam family "Bacterial small subunit ribosomal RNA", at positions 30 to 523 of the family's 1533-position model. The record is from RNAcentral.